AGGCGGGGCUGAGGCCCGCAGAGCUGCCUGGUGCCGCUGCCUUCUUUUGUCUCUACCCAUAUGUUGGGCACACAGUGGUACAGCCAGGGACGGCCGGCGGGGUGGGGGGGGAAAUGCCGGUGCCUCUCGCACAUGCGCCGACGGGUCCCUGACGCGGAAGUCUGUUGGAGGGAGCGGGUCCCGGGGCCGAGCCGGGCCCGUCCCGGGCUGCCGCUCCCGCUGUGCCGGGACCUGCUUCGCCGAGGAGGGCUAUUCAAUAUCUUUCACUUGUCCUGGUUGCUGCCAGCGCAGUGUGCCGGGGCCAGGCCGGUUGUGCGCGCUCGGGAGCUCUCCCUGGAGGCCGGGCGGCUCUGGGGGGCUCCGGUGCGGUGCAGGCUUGUAGAUGUUCGUCCUCGGUUCCCUCAGUGCGAACAAAAGCCGUGUACGUGUUUGACGUACUCAGGGUUCUCCUGGCCUGCGGUGAACACCAGCAGCUGCGUGAGGACGCGAGGCUGUGGGCUGGCCGCAGCCGGGAGAAGGCAGGCCGCGCCGGCCCCGUUCUCUGGGACCUGCAAGAGUCUGGGGUUACCUGGCUCCCAACUGCAACUCUCUGCCUUCUCAGGAGUGUCUGUGGCUGCAAACCACCAUGUGCACUGA
This 636-nucleotide long non-coding RNA is filed under the name Serinus canaria (Common canary). RNAcentral describes it as "lncRNA (ENSSCAG00000013716.1)". Lineage: Eukaryota; Metazoa; Chordata; Aves; Passeriformes; Fringillidae. The record is from RNAcentral.